UUAAGCGACUAAGCGUACACGGUGGAUGCCCUGGCAGUCAGAGGCGAUGAAGGACGUGCUAAUCUGCGAAAAGCGUCGGUAAGGUGAUAUGAACCGUUAUAACCGGCGAUGUCCGAAUGGGGAAACCCAGUGUGAUUCGUCACACUAUCGUUAACUGAAUACAUAGGUUAACGAGGCGAACCGGGGGAACUGAAACAUCUAAGUACCCCGAGGAAAAGAAAUCAACCGAGAUUCCCCCAGUAGCGGCGAGCGAACGGGGAGCAGCCCAGAGUCUGAAUCAGCUUGUGUGUUAGUGGAACGGUCUGGAAAGUCCGACGGUACAGGGUGAUAGUCCCGUACACCAAAAUGCACAGGCUGUGAACUCGAAGAGUAGGGCGGGACACGUGGUAUCCUGUCUGAAUAUGGGGGGACCAUCCUCCAAGGCUAAAUACUCCUGACUGACCGAUAGUGAACCAGUACCGUGAGGGAAAGGCGAAAAGAACCCCGGCGAGGGGAGUGAAAAAGAACCUGAAACCGUGUACGUACAAGCAGUGGGAGCACCUUCGGGUGUGACUGCGUACCUUUUGUAUAAUGGGUCAGCGACUUAUAUUCUGUAGCAAGGUUAACCGUAUAGGGGAGCCGCAGGGAAACCGAGUCUUAACUGGGCGUUAAGUUGCAGGGUAUAGACCCGAAACCCGGUGAUCUAGCCAUGGGCAGGUUGAAGGUUGGGUAACACUAACUGGAGGACCGAACCGACUAAUGUUGAAAAAUUAGCGGAUGACUUGUGGCUGGGGGUGAAAGGCCAAUCAAACCGGGAGAUAGCUGGUUCUCCCCGAAAGCUAUUUAGGUAGCGCCUCGUGAAYUCAUCUUCGGGGGUAGAGCACUGUUUCGGCUAGGGGGUCAUCCCGACUUACCAACCCGAUGCAAACUACGAAUACCGAAGAAUGUUAUCACGGGAGACACACGGCGGGUGCUAACGUCCGUCGUGAAGAGGGAAACAACCCAGACCGCCAGCUAAGGUCCCAAAGUCAUGGUUAAGUGGGAAACGAUGUGGGAAGGCACAGACAGCCAGGAUGUUGGCUUAGAAGCAGCCAUCAUUUAAAGAAAGCGUAAUAGCUCACUGGUCGAGUCGGCCUGCGCGGAAGAUGUAACGGGGCUAAACCAUGCACCGAAGCUGCGGCAGCGACACUAUGUGUUGUUGGGUAGGGGAGCGUUCUGUAAGCCUGCGAAGGUGUGCUGUGAGGCAUGCUGGAGGUAUCAGAAGUGCGAAUGCUGACAUAAGUAACGAUAAAGCGGGUGAAAAGCCCGCUCGCCGGAAGACCAAGGGUUCCUGUCCAACGUUAAUCGGGGCAGGGUGAGUCGACCCCUAAGGCGAGGCCGAAAGGCGUAGUCGAUGGGAAACAGGUUAAUAUUCCUGUACUUGGUGUUACUGCGAAGGGGGGACGGAGAAGGCUAUGUUAGCCGGGCGACGGUUGUCCCGGUUUAAGCAUGUAGGCUGRUURUCCAGGCAAAUCCGGAUAAUCAAGGCUGAGGUGUGAUGACGAGGCACUACGGUGCUGAAGUAACAAAUGCCCUGCUUCCAGGAAAAGCCUCUAAGCAUCAGGUAACAUCAAAUCGUACCCCAAACCGACACAGGUGGUCAGGUAGAGAAUACCAAGGCGCUUGAGAGAACUCGGGUGAAGGAACUAGGCAAAAUGGUGCCGUAACUUCGGGAGAAGGCACGCUGGUGUGUAGGUGAAGUCCCUGCGGAUGGAGCUGAGACCAGUCGAAGAUACCAGCUGGCUGCAACUGUUUAUUAAAAACACAGCACUGUGCAAACACGAAAGUGGACGUAUACGGUGUGACGCCUGCCCGGUGCCGGAAGGUUAAUUGAUGGGGUUAUCCGUAAGGAGAAGCUCUUGAUCGAAGCCCCGGUAAACGGCGGCCGUAACUAUAACGGUCCUAAGGUAGCGAAAUUCCUUGUCGGGUAAGUUCCGACCUGCACGAAUGGCGUAAUGAUGGCCAGGCUGUCUCCACCCGAGACUCAGUGAAAUUGAACUCGCUGUGAAGAUGCAGUGUACCCGCGGCAAGACGGAAAGACCCCGUGAACCUUUACUAUAGCUUGACACUGAACAUUGAGCCUUGAUGUGUAGGAUAGGUGGGAGGCUUUGAAGCGUGGACGCCAGUCUGCGUGGAGCCAACCUUGAAAUACCACCCUUUAAUGUUUGAUGUUCUAACGUUGGCCCCUUACCGGGGUUGCGGACAGUGUCUGGUGGGUAGUUUGACUGGGGCGGUCUCCUCCCAAAGCGUAACGGAGGAGCACGAAGGUUAGCUAAUCCUGGUCGGACAUCAGGAGGUUAGUGCAAUGGCAUAAGCUAGCUUGACUGCGAGCGUGACGGCGCGAGCAGGUGCGAAAGCAGGUCAUAGUGAUCCGGUGGUUCUGAAUGGAAGGGCCAUCGCUCAACGGAUAAAAGGUACUCCGGGGAUAACAGGCUGAUACCGCCCAAGAGUUCAUAUCGACGGCGGUGUUUGGCACCUCGAUGUCGGCUCAUCACAUCCUGGGGCUGAAGUAGGUCCCAAGGGUAUGGCUGUUCGCCAUUUAAAGUGGUACGCGAGCUGGGUUUAGAACGUCGUGAGACAGUUCGGUCCCUAUCUGCCGUGGGCGCUGGAGAAUUGAGGGGGGCUGCUCCUAGUACGAGAGGACCGGAGUGGACGCAUCACUGGUGUUCGGGUUGUCAUGCCAAUGGCACUGCCCGGUAGCUAAAUGCGGAAGAGAUAAGUGCUGAAAGCAUCUAAGCACGAAACUUGCCCCGAGAUGAGUUCUCCCUGAGACUUUAAG
Molecule: ribosomal RNA, 2797 nt
Filed under: Klebsiella pneumoniae
Lineage: Bacteria; Pseudomonadati; Pseudomonadota; Gammaproteobacteria; Enterobacterales; Enterobacteriaceae
Description: 23S ribosomal RNA
Source: RNAcentral